This 229-nucleotide ribosomal RNA is filed under the name uncultured bacterium. RNAcentral's name for it is "partial 16S ribosomal RNA". It matches the Rfam family "Bacterial small subunit ribosomal RNA", at positions 568 to 796 of the family's 1533-position model. The record is from RNAcentral.
UGCGUAGGCGGAUAUUAAGGUCAGAUGUGAAAGCCCAGGGCUCAACCCUGGAACUGCAUUUGAAACCGGAUAUCUAGAAUGUGAUAGAGGAUAAUGGAAUUUCUAGUGUAGCGAUGAAAUGCGUAGAUAUUAGAAGGAACACCAGAGGCGAAGGCGAUUAUCUGGGUCACUAUUGACGCUGAGGCACGAAAGUGUGGGUAGCAAACAGGAUUAGAUACCCUGGUAGUCC